This 292-nucleotide ribosomal RNA is filed under the name uncultured bacterium. RNAcentral's name for it is "partial 16S ribosomal RNA". It matches the Rfam family "Bacterial small subunit ribosomal RNA", at positions 505 to 796 of the family's 1533-position model. The record is from RNAcentral.
GUGCCAGCCGCCGCGGUAAUACGGAGGAUGCGAGCGUUAUCCGGAAUCACUGGGUUUAAAGGGUGCGCAGGCGGAAUAAUAAGUCAGGGGUGAAAAUUCUCAGCUUAACUGAGGACUUGCCUUUGAUACUGUUAUUCUUGAGUGCAGUUGAAGUGGGCGGAAUAUAGCAUGUAGCGGUGAAAUGCAUAGAUAUGCUAUAGAACACCAAUUGCGAAGGCAGCUCACUAAACUGUAACUGACGCUGAGGCACGAAAGCUUGGAUAGCAAACAGGAUUAGAAACCCUGGUAGUCC